UUAAGGGAGGUCUGACUAAAUCAGGGAGGACCUCGGAUCGACUAGCACUGCAUCCAGGAGAGUAGAAAGUCUCAACAUUGUGUUUAAUUGCUUCAUGCUGCAAAACCUUUCUUUAUUGGGCAUCCUAACUCGGAUGUUUUAGUUAGAUUUAUUGCAGCCUGUUUUUCUCUCGAAAUUCCGGGAAUAGAGUACGGGGCGAUGGUUCAAGACAGGAAAGGAUUGGGACGAGACAAGGACACGUCAGCCCUAGUUCUCCUACGUUGCAUUUUUCAUGUUCGCAUUUGCAUACGCAGUGAUAAGCGCUCGUCGGAGCCUAAGAGAUAGAAAGCCUCUGGUACCCAGGGUAAAGAGGUAUCCAAUAAAUAUGGCUGAGGACAACAUUUAUAUUUCAUUUCAAGCAAUAGAUCCCUUGUUGACGAAGGAGCCAAGAUAACUUUGUUUUUGUCAAACGCGUUAUGCUUGGGACACUCUCAAAGUGUUAAAUUGUUUCUUUCUUUCUAGAGCUUCUUGAAUUCAGUGAAGAUCGCCAUCCUUGGGAGUCAGUGGAAGAGAAGCUUAAUGCGAUCAGAGACAUGAUGCGAAAAAUGGUAAAAGAGAUGAGGGUUGGAAGAGAAUGAAGAGCUGCCAGUCAAGAUGGUUCCAAUACGAUUGUUUUUCUUGUCGAGUAUUUACAAUAACAACAUUGCUUGUUUAACUUCAAAACAGGAAUAAAUGAAAAGUUAUGUGAAACUG
Molecule: long non-coding RNA, 732 nt
Organism: Orbicella faveolata
Lineage: Eukaryota; Metazoa; Cnidaria; Anthozoa; Scleractinia; Merulinidae
Source: RefSeq, a predicted model, not a curated record